CUAUACUUUAUCCAUUACACUUGGACCUAUUCCCGCUUGCCCACCAAGUCAAACCAAAACUUUUAUACCACUUGGUUGAGGGCGUCCAGAGGAGCACAUGAAAACAAACAACAACAUACUAAUAUCAAAAUCAUGGUCACAUCUCCAUACAAAACCUCUUAAAUCUAUAGUAUUAUUAAUCAAAGUAGCUCCCCCUUUUCCCUUAUCAUUUGAAAAUAAUGAGAGUUCAUAAAUCAAUAGUAUUAAUUAUUAUGUUCUUUCUUUUAAUACUACUAAUACUCCAUCUUUCAAGUUGGAGGCACAUAUCUUUUGAUGAUAAAGAAGAUAUCAUGGAAGAAAGAAGAAGAAGAAUGAAGUUCCCUUUUCCAUUUCCACAAGCCUAUGAAGAAUUCAAAGACAAAAGGGUGAGUGGAUUUCAAAUUGUUUCACAUACAUCUACUCCAGGUGGACCAAAUCCACUUCAUAAUUAAGGAACUAGUAGUGGUUCUUAAAGUGGAAUUAAUUUCAUUUUCCUUGGUAUUAGUUUGGAUCAAUAAUAAGGUACUUGAAAAUUGCUUGUAUUUGUGAGGUUCAUCGGCAUAUAACAUAGUGAAAGAACUUAUAAUGUAUAGUGUGUCCAUAUUAUAUAAGUUGGUUACUUCACUUGCAAUGUUCUUGUGAUCUUUUUAUCUAAACUUUAUAUAUCAUCCACAAUAGAUGUUUCAAAUUGCGAUCAUCUUCUCCUAUGUUUAAAGUUUUGAGAGUUUGAUAAAAUCAUGAUGAGUCACUGUAAUUGAAAUAUAUAGUCUAUAACUUCCCUGACUAACUCCUUAAUUAUACUAUAUCAUAACAAUACAUCCUCCUCAAAAUGACUUUCCCGAAAGUUGAAAUCUACUAUAUUGUUUUGAAUCCAUUUCAUUUAAAUUGGUAUUUUCUCCAUAAUUAUUAUUCUAUAAAGAAUGUUUACAAUAACUAGUCUUGGUAUAUUUUUUUUAAAAAAUACAUGUAUAGCUGCAGCAAGGAGUCG
Molecule: long non-coding RNA, 1006 nt
Filed under: Trifolium pratense (red clover)
Lineage: Eukaryota; Viridiplantae; Streptophyta; Magnoliopsida; Fabales; Fabaceae
Description: long non-coding RNA (TPRA_LNC000654)
Source: RNAcentral